CCUACGGGUGGCAGCAGUGGGGAAUAUUGGACAAUGGGCGAAAGCCUGAUCCAGCCAUGCCGCGUGUGUGAAGAAGGCCUUCGGGUUGUAAAGCACUUUCAGUGGGGAAGAAAGCCUUGGGGCUAAUACCCUCGAGGAAGGACAUCACCCACAGAAGAAGCACCAGCUAACUCCGUGCCAGCAGCCGCGGUAAUACGGAGGGUGCGAGCGUUAAUCGGAAUUACUGGGCGUAAAGCGCGCGUAGGCGGUCUGAUAAGCCGGUUGUGAAAGCCCCGGGCUCAACCUGGGAACGGCAUCCGGAACUGUCAGGCUAGAGUGCAGGAGAGGAAGGUAGAAUUCCCGGUGUAGCGGUGAAAUGCGUAGAGAUCGGGAGGAAUACCAGUGGCGAAGGCGGCCUUCUGGACUGACACUGACGCUGAGGUGCGAAAGCGUGGGUAGCAAACAGGAUUAGAUACCCCUGUAGUC
This 465-nucleotide ribosomal RNA is filed under the name Vreelandella stevensii. RNAcentral describes it as "partial 16S ribosomal RNA". It matches the Rfam family "Bacterial small subunit ribosomal RNA", at positions 338 to 795 of the family's 1533-position model. Lineage: Bacteria; Pseudomonadati; Pseudomonadota; Gammaproteobacteria; Oceanospirillales; Halomonadaceae. The record is from RNAcentral.